GAAAUACUAAAUGGGCAUCAUUAGUAGAUGUUUUUUAUAUAUCUAAGGACUUAGAAACUAUUUUCUUAGAAGAAUUAUUUUCCACAUUUGAAGUGCAUGAAUCGAGAUGUGCAGGUACGAAGGAGACAAAGUACAACAUCACCCUAAAGGCAUCGAGAGACGAACCGGAGUCAGAAUCCUUUCUCGACGAUGAAGAAAUGAUAAUGAUGACUAUUCAACCCCCUUCUAGCCGGCCAACGCGGUCCAACAAUGCCAACUUGCCAAGGAUUAUUUUUGUGUGAUUCUGGCUUCCUUUGGCUUCUAGUCACUUCCCUCAUUGGAUAUCAAUAAUGCCUUCAUGAGAAUCUUAAGGAAGAGG
Molecule: long non-coding RNA, 358 nt
Organism: Zingiber officinale
Lineage: Eukaryota; Viridiplantae; Streptophyta; Magnoliopsida; Zingiberales; Zingiberaceae
Exons: 3
Source: RefSeq, a predicted model, not a curated record